Molecule: RNA transcript, 4210 nt
Organism: Corapipo altera (White-ruffed manakin)
Lineage: Eukaryota; Metazoa; Chordata; Aves; Passeriformes; Pipridae
Gene: TUBE1
Gene name: tubulin epsilon 1
Exons: 14
Source: RefSeq, a predicted model, not a curated record
GGGGGCGGCUUCCGGGCGCCCACUUCGAAACGGCAGAGCGUCGCCGGCCCCGCCAUGACGCAGUCGGUUGUGGUGCAGGUGGGACAGUGCGGGAACCAGGUGGGCUGCCGGUUCUGGGACCUGGCGCUGCGGGAACACGCCGCCGUCAACAAGAAAGGAAUUUAUGAUGAAGCCUUAAGCAGCUUCUUUAGGAACGUAGAUACAAGAAGUGGCGGUGAUGGUCCUGGUAUUUACAAAGGAAAAAUCUGCUCUUUAAAAGCACGAGUAAGGCAAUCUAUAAAGGCACUGUUGAUUGACAUGGAGGAGGGUGUGGUAAAUGAAAUUCUGCAGGGACCGUUGAGGGAUAUGUUUGAUAGCAAGCAACUUAUCACAGAUGUUUCUGGUUCAGGAAACAACUGGGCUGUAGGUCAUAAGCUAUAUGGCUAUCAGUACCGGGAAAACAUUGUGGAAAAGCUGAGGAAAACCGCAGAACAUUGCGACUGUCUGCAAUGUUUCUUUAUAAUUCAUUCCAUGGGAGGUGGGACAGGAUCUGGUCUUGGAACUUUUGUACUAAAUUUGCUUGAGGACGAAUUCCCAGAAGUGUAUAGAUUUGUUACUUCAGUUUAUCCCUCUGGUGAAGAUGAUGUUAUUACUUCUCCAUAUAAUAGUGUUCUGGCUAUGAAGGAGCUUAAUGAACAUGCAGACUGUGUGUUACCAGUAGAGAAUGAAUCUCUGUUUGAUAUAGUUAAUAAAAUUAAUCAGAUGAUCAAUUCUGGGAAACUGGGGUCAACCGUGAAGCAAAAUAGCUUGGUGACAUCAAGUACAGGCAGUGUAAAAACUCUCCAAGAGAAGCCAUUUGAUGCAAUGAAUAAUAUCGUAGCCAACUUGCUGCUGAACCUGACAAGCUCUGCUAGAUUUGAAGGUUCCCUGAACAUGGAUCUUAAUGAAAUCAGUAUGAAUUUGGUUCCAUUUCCUCGACUUCAUUAUUUGGUUUCAAGUUUGACUCCUCUGUAUACGUUGGCGGAUGUUAACGUACCUUCCAGAAGGUUGGAUCAGAUGUUUUCAGAUGCAUUUAGUAGAGAUCAUCAACUAAUUCAAGCAGAUCCAAAGCACAGCCUCUACCUUGCCUGUGCACUUCUUGUUCGAGGAAAUGUGCAGGUUUCAGACCUUCGCCGAAAUAUUGAAAGGUUAAAACCUUCUCUGCACUUUGUCUCCUGGAAUCAAGAGGGCUGGAAAACUGGUUUGUGUUCAGUACCUCCUGUGGGCCAUUCCCAUUCACUUCUGGCUUUAGCAAACAACACCUGCAUAAAACCAACUUUCAUUGAACUCAAGGAGAGAUUUAUGAAGCUCUACAAGAAAAAGGCUCACCUUCACCAUUAUCUGCAAAUAGAUGGGAUGGAGCAAAGCUGUUUUUCUGAAGCUGUGUCCUCCUUGUCUGAUCUAAUAGAAGAGUACAAUGAACUGGAUGUGACAAAAGGUGGGCCUAGAACAGACCCAUCAAGACUGAAGAUAGCUGUUUAAAGAAGGAAGAACUGCUCUUUAUUUUUUUGUUUAAAAAUAAUGAAAUACUUCCUAAGCAUCCAGCCACUUCAGUUAACCAGAAUGACUUGCAGCAUGCCUGGCUGUUGUAAUUCUGAAGUGGGACCAGGACAACGGCUUCCUCAGCUCAAGAGUUGUCAUAUUAAGUGAUAAGCCCUACCUGUAAGAAAGAUUUGACAGCACCUAAUUAUAGCUGAUAUCAGUAAGAGCAGUAAUCCUAACUGUGAGUUAAAUUGACACACCAUAUGCUGUGAAGAGAAGGAAAAGAGAUUUUAGCAGCCAGAAAUGUAAUUCUUUUCUCAGACUUUACAGUAAACUAGAGGACUUUGAGUUCCGAAAACAUAUCUCCUGGAGCACUGCAAAUCCUCUGACAUACGCACGAUGUUAUCCACAUCAUCUUCCACUUGAAGAAGCCUUCAUUGGGACACUCAAACUGUACAGUGAUCAUUUUGGACUUAUUAGAUGACCGGUUCCAUAAUGAAGUAGAGGCACACACAACACUUGGCCAUUAUACAACAUAAGGCCUGGGAGCCACUCUUGUCAAGCAGCUCUGACUGCCCAAAGAGCAAAAGAGCAAGGCAAGAUCCAGCCCCUCAUCAGGUGCCAGUAUCACCAUCAAGCUUGCAGAAAAAAAAUAAAAUAUAUAGUCUAUAUUUUUUCUAGGCACAUGAAGCCCAACUUAUCAGUUUUUCUCUGUUCCUCCAAACCGCAGGGCUCUACUGGUAUAGAAAUCACCUCCAGCAGAGACACUGAGGGAAAGCUUGUGAAGGGGUCAUUCAGCUGGGUUUCCUUUCUGCUCAACUUUCAAACUGGAAAUCUCUGCAAAAUUCAGCAUUUGAUAUGUCAUAGCCCAUGGAAGCUCUCACACUAUAAUUAAGCCGGCCUAAUUGCAUGCAGCAGUAAAUGACCUUUUAAAAGCCUUUUUUCUAACAUUAAUUUCCAUUUUUCAUGGUCAUUUACAACUAUACUUACGAUAUCUUAAUCCACAGUUACUAAUGAAGCUCCAAAGUAGUAGCUUUCAAGUUCCUUUGGCUGAAUGAUUUUUAAGAUAGAUAUUAAUUUACACAGGCAAUUCUUAUAGGAAAUGAAAAUUAAAGAAUGUUGUGUGGCAUUCCAUGCAGCAUGAAGAAGAUAGUUUAAGAAAUGUGUAAUUUUGCAAAAGGAUUUCUUCUAAUCCUUUCUACCUAAAUGCAGCAAUAAUAUAGAAGCAACUAACUUAAGUGUACUUUUUUUUAGGCAGCUAAGCAUUUCCUAUAAACCAUAAUGUUAAUUGGAUGAACAUGUGCAUUGAAAUGUAAAGCUUCUUGAAGGAUCAUUAUGGAAACAAGACACACAGGUGUACCUAUACAUUUAGCAGUAUUCAAGACUGUAUGGUCUGUUCAGGAAACGCUUCCUUGCUGUUUUUUUUCUUCUUUUUAAGCAGAGCAUUAUUAUUAUUAUUACUAUUAUUAUUGUUGUUGUUGUUGUUGUUGUUGUUAUUAUCUGACCAUGUGCCAGCUAUAUGGGGUUAUGUGGCUUGAAUCAGAUACCGCAUUUCAAAAUGGGUAUGUGUACCAGGAAGUAAUCUUACGUGUUCUGCCAAUAUGUUUAAUUUGUAUUACAAAUUAAAGAAUGCUUUAAACCUACAGAAUUCUACCUAAGUGAUUUUUCUCUCUUUUUUUAGGAUAAGAUGUCAGCUGAAAGGUGUGAGACUACAAAGUUCCCCAGUAAGAAAAAACACCAUCAGGCAAAUAUCUGACAGUUUUAACACUGGAAUUACCGAAAACUUUGGUUUAGCUGAAAAAUCUUCAAAUAUCUAUUAAGUUACAAUGAAAAUGUAAAGUUUGCUUGUCAAGUUUGCAGGUCAAAUGUUUUUCUAAUUUGUGCUUCCCCGAGUUUCUAUACCAAAGUUAUUCACAUCACAGAAGCCCCCUGCAUACUUUUCCUGAUCCUAUGGGCAGAUCAGAAAAUGAGACCAUUGUGUAGGUACCCUUCAUGUGUUGUUUGUUUUCUUAUGUGUUAAAGAUUGAACAAGGUCAGUAUGGCAUAAAUAAGCAAAGAGCAGAAGUAGGCAAUGUAUUAUCGCUAAUGUUCAGUUUUCUUAGUCUGCCUCUAAAUAUGCAGAAAGUUAGCGGAGGGAGACAAUCAUCUGAAAAUUCUCCAUCUGACACUCAUCUUGAUUGUAAAGGACAAAUUUUCAAAAUUGAGUCAAUAAAUAAUGAAACUGGGCUUUGACGCAAAUACCUUUACAAAAAGCUAUCACUUAAAAUUUUCUUAUAAGAGACAAAGCAUAACACAGCCCAGGUGCCUUUCUCUUCAUAAAACUAGCCUGAAGUUAGACCACUGUGUGUAUAUAUACAUAUUUGCACACACAUAUAUACAUAGAUAUAUGGAAUAUGAGCAUAUAUGGAAUAUGAGCAUGGAUGUUUACUUCCUUACUGCAUCAGAUAAUCAUUUGUGCUUAAAUAAAAAAAAAAAAAAAAACAACGCAAGGUCACUGGCAAUUUAAGCUUCCCUAACACUUUUUUUCCCACUAAAUCAUAUUAAUGUACAGAGAGAAAAAAACUACCAAAAUCAGGACUGAUGCAGUAAAUAAGCUGCAAAUGAAAUUUACUCAGGAGUAGGGAAUGGCUGCUUAUUCUUUAUGAGGAAUUUGCUUCUCUGAAAUUUAAUUUGUUGUUAAGCAAAUAAAAACUUUUAACCAGAACAAGGU